Molecule: ribosomal RNA, 199 nt
Filed under: uncultured bacterium
Lineage: Bacteria
Description: partial 16S ribosomal RNA
Rfam family: Bacterial small subunit ribosomal RNA
Source: RNAcentral
ACGCUCGACACCUACGGGAGGCAGCAGUCGGGAAUAUUGCGCAAUGGAGGAAACUUUGACGCAGUGACGCCGCGUAUAGGAAGAAGGUUUUCGGAUUGUAAACUAUUGUCGUUAGGGAAGAGAAAGGACAGUACCUAAGGAGGAAGCUCCGGCUAACUACGUGUCAGCAGCCGCGGUAAUCUGAGCGGGCUGGCAAGGC